This 424-nucleotide long non-coding RNA is filed under the name Homo sapiens (human). RNAcentral's name for it is "non-protein coding lnc-SERPINB1-2:5". The record is from RNAcentral. Lineage: Eukaryota; Metazoa; Chordata; Mammalia; Primates; Hominidae.
AAGGGAGGACUCAGGACACCAUGGAACCUUGGGAGAUACUCCUUUCUUCUUGCCUGCUUCUCCCUUUGGGAAUGGGAAUGUACGUCCUAUGCCUGUCUCAUCACUUUGCCCUUCCACUUUCCACCAUUGAGGACGCAGCAGCAAGCUGUCAUCUUGGAAACAGAGAGCAGGUGUUUGGAACUGGUUCUGUUUCAUCUGAUUCUGGGGGCCCCUCUUUUUCCCUGUGCAAGAUCCCCAAAUUUGCUUCCUUCUCUCAAAGAAAGCUCCCAAUAUAGAUGGGACUCAAAGGGAGUCAUUUGCCCUCUAAGAGGUGUCACAAUAUGUCGUCUCAGUCAUUCACACCUUAGUAAGAAAAAGCUUUUCAGGUCCUUGCCAGAGAUUCGGGGAAAGGCUUUGAACUGAGAAAGAAGCCGCGCCCCUGAGG